Molecule: ribosomal RNA, 397 nt
Filed under: uncultured bacterium
Lineage: Bacteria
Description: partial 16S ribosomal RNA
Rfam family: Bacterial small subunit ribosomal RNA
Source: RNAcentral
AAUAUUGCGCAAUGGGGGGAACCCUGACGCAGCAACGCCGCGUGAGCGACGAAGGCCUUCGGGUCGUAAAGCUCUGUCUUAAGGGAUGAUAAUGACAGUACCUUAAGAGGAAGCCCCGGCUAACUACGUGCCAGCAGCCGCGGUAAUACGUAGGGGGCAAGCGUUGUCCGGAUUUACUGGGUGUAAAGGGCGCGUAGGCGGUUAUCUAAGUCAGCUGUGAAAGUCCAGGGCUUAACCCUGGAAUUGCAAUUGAAACUAAAUAACUUGAGUUAAGGAGAGGAGAGCGGAAUUCCUAGUGUAGCGGUGAAAUGCGUAGAUAUUAGGAAGAACACCAGUGGCGAAGGCGGCUCUCUGGACUUAAACUGACGCUGAGGCGCGAAAGCGUGGGUAGCGAACA